This 441-nucleotide long non-coding RNA is filed under the name Brachypodium distachyon (stiff brome). Its description in RNAcentral is "long non-coding RNA (BDIS_LNC002850)". The record is from RNAcentral. Lineage: Eukaryota; Viridiplantae; Streptophyta; Magnoliopsida; Poales; Poaceae.
AAUGUUGAUACGUUUUUCAUACAAAUUGGUCAAAGUUUAAUAUCUUUGACUUAGGACAAACCUAGAUGCACACUUAUUUGCGGACUGAGGGAGUAUUAUACAUGUUGGUUAUUGUAUUGGCUAUAGAUGACAUGAUAUGGGCUAAUAGCCACCAGCUGGCUAUAUUAUUAAUCUUGCUCUAACAGACUAUGCAUUGUAUGAGGCCUCCCAAUGCUCCUACGUGGUGUUGUCUCUAACUCCACGUCAGCAUUUUGUCUAUAUGGAUUUGGUACAUCAUUAAAGUUUGGCACAAAUUUCAAUACGGGCCUUAUAAAUCCGGACGGAGGUAGUAGGCCAUAAGACGUACUGCGCAAAUAUAUUAAUGAAAAUGUUAAUGUACAAUGGAAAGAAAAUGAAAAGAAAGGUGAAAAAAAAUCUAUUUGAUCUCCAUGAUGUCAUGGC